GAGAAUAAAUUUAAGAUUAUUGAUUGUGUAAAGUAAAUUAAUUGAAAUAACUUUAAGUUUUAGGUUUUAGUAUAGUAAUAGAACAAAUUUGUUUAUUUAUAGUUAAUUAGUAUUGUAGAAGAAAAUUGAAAAAUUUUGAAAAAGGAUUCACUGAAAAGUAGAUGAAAUGUUGUACCUUGUGUAUCAGGGUUUAUUAAAUUGGAGUAUUGAAUGUGCUUCUCCCGAGUUUGAAGGAGUUAAUUUAUUAUAUUGGUUAAUGUGGUACCAUUAUCAAUAAUAGUAAGUUUGUAAUGAAAUGUUAGCCGUCUUCUAAGAUAUCUGGUUCUCUAAGAAAUGAAUUUAAUUCAGUAUUUAUUAGUAGUUUAUGAAUUUGUUCACAAAUUAUUGAUUGAAUAUAAUAUUUUAAGGGAUAAGCUUUAGAAUAAUUGUUAUACGUAGAAGAGUAUAUUAAAAAUUGUAGGCUUUAAAUUAGCCAGCGUUUAAAUAAUGUUAUAAAUUAUUUUGUUUUAAUAUAAUUUUAUAAAAGUGUUAGGUUGUAUAUUAGAGUAAAUUGAGUAAUGUUAAUUCAAUUGUAAUAAUGAUAAAAUUAGUAUAUCUAUAAAGUGUGAUUUGUUUUUUUUGAUGGUAAUUUAUAAAAAGGAACUAGGCAAGUAUAAUGUUCGCCUGUUUAUCAAAAACAUGUCUCUUUGAGUUGAAUUUAGGGUUGGGCCUGCCCACUGACAUUAGUUGAAGGGCCGCGGUAUUUUGACCGUGCAAAGGUAGCAUAAUCACUAGUCUUUUAAUUGAGGGCUGGAAUGAAUGGUUUGACGAAAUAUUGACUGUCUCUUUAUAAUAAAUAUAAUUUAACUUUUAAGUCAAAAGGCUUAAAUGAAUAUAAAAGACGAGAAGACCCUAUAGAUCUUUAUACAAUUAGGUAUAAUUAUUAAUGUGGUUGUAUUGAUUAUGGUUAUAAUAUUGUAUUUUGUUGGGGUGACAUGAAGAUAUAAGUAACUCUUUAUAAUGGGAACAUUGGUUUAUGAUUAAUUGAUCCGUUAUUAGCGAUUAUAAGAUAAAGUUACCUUAGGGAUAACAGCGUAAUUUUUUUUGAGAGUUCUUAUCGACAAAAAAGAUUGCGACCUCGAUGUUGGAUUAAGGAAUAUGAUUAGGUGUAGCAGUUUGAUUAAUAAGUCUGUUCGACUUUUAAAUCCUUACAUGAUCUGAGUUCAGACCGGCGUGAGCCAGGUCGGUUUCUAUCUUUAUAGGGUUAAGAUAUUUUAGUACGAAAGGACCAAAUAUCUAAAAUAUUUUUUUUUUAAGUGACGAAUAGUAAU
Molecule: ribosomal RNA, 1310 nt
Filed under: Chizuella bonneti
Lineage: Eukaryota; Metazoa; Arthropoda; Insecta; Orthoptera; Tettigoniidae
Description: Metrioptera bonneti 16S ribosomal RNA
Rfam family: Archaeal large subunit ribosomal RNA (bases 617-1310)
Source: RNAcentral